AGUAAUAUGGCUGAGUUUUAAGCGAUAAAUUGUAAAUUUAUUUAUAAAUUAAAAAAAUUUUGUUACUG
Molecule: transfer RNA, 68 nt
Filed under: Hydropsyche trifora
Lineage: Eukaryota; Metazoa; Arthropoda; Insecta; Trichoptera; Hydropsychidae
Description: tRNA-Tyr
Source: RNAcentral